RNAcentral lists this long non-coding RNA (825 nucleotides) under Macaca fascicularis (crab-eating macaque). Its description in RNAcentral is "lncRNA (ENSMFAG00000061475.1)". Lineage: Eukaryota; Metazoa; Chordata; Mammalia; Primates; Cercopithecidae. The record is from RNAcentral.
GACCAAGUGGGAGGAGGCAGGAGUGGGGUCAGAGGCUGUGGGAGCAGGAGAGACACUGCGGAGCUGGAGAGGCUGCGGGAGCUGGAGAGGAUGCUGGAGCUGGGGUGGGAAGCCCUCUACGAGCAGCAGGCGGAGCCACACAGUAGCCGAGGGAGGCCGGGUGGGUUGCCCCACCUGGGGAGCCUGCCCUCUUCCCUAGCCCUCCAGGCCUUUGUUUCCCCACCUGUAAAAUGGGGCAUUGCAGCCCUCACAUGAAAUGGUACUUCUAAAGGCACCUGUGAGCCAGAGCCCCGCUCUGAUGGCUGUGGGAGAGAAGGGAUGAUUUUUCUAACCUGCCUCCACCCUUCCCGGUGCCAUGGCAGGCAGACACCAAGUUCUGGGGUCUCCAGCUAUAGCGGGUGGCCAAUGAUUGCUUCUCUCUGUCCAGAACAAUGAGAACAAGAGACACUGCAGUUGGAGCCUCAAGUAAAGGAGCUGAAGACGCUGGGCGAGCUGAAAGACACGAAGAGACGGAGGAGGACAUCUGGACAGUGAGGAGGAGGAGGCACCUCGGCCCAUGCAGGACAUCCCAGAGGACCGGGAGAGCCUGGAGGUCAGGUGAGCCUGACUUUCCCUGCCCCUACUUUGUCACCUUCCUCGCUGGUCCCUCCCAGAUCCCCUUAUGUUCUUGGUUUCCCUGCCUUCUGAUUUCUGUGGACUUUCACUCCUUCCGGGAGCCAGUGGUCAAACACCAUUUCACUGUGACCAACAGGUGCACACUCUGAGCCCCAAGGGAAGGCUCCUCCUCCCCUGCCCAGUUGUUCUGUGUAUGUCCCUACAAGAAUA